This 253-nucleotide ribosomal RNA is filed under the name uncultured bacterium. RNAcentral describes it as "partial 16S ribosomal RNA". It matches the Rfam family "Bacterial small subunit ribosomal RNA", at positions 524 to 776 of the family's 1533-position model. The record is from RNAcentral.
UACGUAGGGGGCAAGCGUUGCCCGGAUUCAUUGGGCGUAAAGAGCGUGUAGGCGGCCAGGUAGGUCGGUUGUGAAAACUGGAGGCUCAACCUUCAGAGGUCGACCGAAACCAUCUGGCUAGAGUCCGGGAGAGGAGAGUGGAAUUCCUGGUGUAGCGGUGAAAUGCGCAGAUAUCAGGAAGAACACCCGUGGCGAAAGCGGCUCUCUGGAACGGUACUGACGCUGAGACGCGAAAGCGUGGGGAGCGAACAGG